CCUACGCGUGGCAGCAGUGGGGAAUAUUGCACAAUGGGGGAAACUCUGAUGCAGCGACGUCGCGUGAGUGAAGAAGUAAUUCGUUAUGUAAAGCUCUAUCAGCAGGGAAGAAAAUGACGGUACCUGAGUAAGAAGCCCCGGCGAACUACGUGACAGCAGCCGCGGUAAUACGUAGGGGGCAAGCGUUAUCCGGAUUUGCUGGGUGUGAAGGGAGCGUAGACGGCAGUGCAAGUCUGGAGUGAAAGGCGGGGGCUCAACCCCCGGACUGCUCUUGAAACUGUACGGCUGGAGUGCAGGAGAGGUAAGUGGAAUUCCUAGUGUAGCGGUGAAAUGCGUAGAUAUUAGGAGGAACACCAGUGGCGAAGGCGGCUGACUGGACUGUAACUGACGUUGAGGCUCGAAAGCGUGGGGAGCAAACAGGAUUAGAUACCCCUGUAGUC
Molecule: ribosomal RNA, 440 nt
Filed under: uncultured bacterium
Lineage: Bacteria
Description: partial 16S ribosomal RNA
Rfam family: Bacterial small subunit ribosomal RNA
Source: RNAcentral